UAUCAUUAUCAUCAUCAUCAUCAUCAUCAUCAUCAUCGUCGUCGUCGUCGUAGUCGUCGUCAUAGUCAUCGUGGUCGUCGUUGUCGCGAGGAACGUCGAGACGCCGCCGUCGCUGCAGCCGCCACACGUGCUCUUCUCGCGUCUGGCGGUGAGACAGCUAUUGUAAAAUUAGCGUCGGGGCACAAUGCCGGCGUCGCGGCGUCUGGGGUCGCGCAGCCACGACCCCCGUGGUCUAAAUCCGGCAUCCGUGAAGUCAUCCUGAACACGAAGAAGAGAGAGAGAGAGAGAGAGAGAGAAAGAAUGAAGGGGAGGAGAGACGGGGAGAACCCCGAAUUGAUUCUGUUAGACGGUCUGUUCUCUCCCUCUCUUUUGUCGCGAGUCUGCCGCAAGUUUCGUGGAAAGUCGCUACCGAGAUAGGUAGGGCGCUUUUGCGUGGCGCGUGGCUCCGCUCGUCCUCUUCAUCCUGACGCGAUCUGCGAGGGGAGCGACCCUGCGGAAGGUGCGACUGGACGUGCCGCGAGAAUGAUGGUGACGUUGAUAAGGACGCUGGAGGAAAUCGUUCAGCAAUACUUGCAAAUAGAUGAGAGAGAUUGACUUUGGAAUUUCUACUUCCGACAAACGUAAACAUCACUUAACAAUAGAAUUCGCGGCACGUGGUAUCAGUACAUGGAAAGUGUUGUAGCUGUCGUGUAACCACGCGUGAAGACAUCCGAGGCACGAGGAAGCAUCUAUUAACGAUCGCCGUGCUCGAAAUUCGACAGAUGUAAUUUAGCUUCAUUGCUGAAAGAGUCUUCAUCACUAUACGAACACCGCGGGUCACGUGAGCAUUCAUUGCCCUCUCUAAGCUUCUGUCUCGGCUCGAGAGCGGCUUUAUACAGGAUGUUACCAUAAUAUUCUGUGAAAUAUGUGGCCGCACAAAUCUCUCGUUUCGCGCGAGCGUUAUUCGACAAGGCAAACGUAUCAAAUCGACUCGAAAAACGCUGCAUGUCCACUGUGCGUCUUUUACAGCGUGCCCUUGGUUUGCGGGGACUUUUCUUGUUCAGUGUCAGAGCUUCGCGGAAACCAUCCGAUAGGAGGACUUUAUGACGCGUGGCGUCGCGACGGAUCGGACCAUUAGACACCGGACGCACAGGAGGAUUGUGAGGGCGUAAAGGAGAGCACGUGGACAAUAACGGAGCAAAUUUUAUCGUCCGUCUCCAUCGGACGUGCAACAGUCGGCGGCGCGCAGUCUCCGUUUUCGCUUAUCGUCGGCAACUUGAAGCGGCUACCUGGCCACAUAAGCAAGUAUACGAUCUUCUUUGAUGAUCACGAGACUAUAAAGCAUAAUAAAUUAAAACAAGUGAAAGUGAAUUAAACGAGUCUAACGAGUUAUCUCACUCCGUUAGCCUUCAAUCGGUUUUUCAUCUUCUUCUCCAACAUCUGUCUCAAAUUCGUUGGCUGCGAUUAUAACGAUUAUUGAAAGAUUGUCGCUACGAUUGCGAAUCAGUGCGAAUUCAUAGUACAUAAAUUAUAAGUUUCUAAAAAAAAAAAAUUAAAAAAAAUUUUACUUUCGGUAACCGACAGCAUGACUUUUACGACGCAACCGGCCUUCGUCUAUUCUUCUCGCAUGCGUCGACGCAACAUCUCGCUGUACUCGCUGUUAAGUGAUGAACGAGAGCAUCGAGAGCUAUAAGCGGGCCACCGUACGCGAUAUAGGUCGAAUGUAUCGAAUCGACUCGUGUGUACGUAAAAUGUGCCUCGAAUUACGCGCGCGAGUGUUCGCUAGUGGUUGAAAAAACGCGGCAUGGGGUGCGUGACGUUACUGUAAACGUACGCGGUUCCGCUGUUGCCCGUAUUGAGCAAACAAUUUACACAUGCAAAAAUAGUUGCUUAAAUAUUUUCCGUCGACUAGAGGCAUACGCGCACAGCUCACACAGCUGUAAUUUGCGCGCGCUAAUUUUGCCGUAUUUACUGGAAGUGAAAAAGCGUGACUGUUGCGCUGGAUCUUGUUGCGAACGCGUGAAGGAAAAUUGUUUAAGAUGCUCUUGAUUCUAAAUUGUCGGUUAUUGAUAAUUGAUUGACAACUUGAAUGCUUGAUUGAUUAUGUCUUAAUUGAAUCAGAAUUAUAAAUAAUAUUAUACAAAUAAAAAAAAAUCGGAAAAACAUUCAAAA
Molecule: long non-coding RNA, 2151 nt
Organism: Solenopsis invicta (red fire ant)
Lineage: Eukaryota; Metazoa; Arthropoda; Insecta; Hymenoptera; Formicidae
Exons: 4
Source: RefSeq, a predicted model, not a curated record